RNAcentral lists this ribosomal RNA (445 nucleotides) under uncultured Lachnospiraceae bacterium. Its description in RNAcentral is "bacterial SSU rRNA". It matches the Rfam family "Bacterial small subunit ribosomal RNA", at positions 341 to 792 of the family's 1533-position model. The record is from RNAcentral. Lineage: Bacteria; Bacillati; Bacillota; Clostridia; Lachnospirales; Lachnospiraceae.
ACGGGAGGCAGCAGUGGGGGAUAUUGGACAAUGGGGGAAACCCUGAUCCAGCGACGCCGCGUGAGUGAAGAAGUAUUUCGGUAUGUAAAGCUCUAUCAGCAGGGAAGAAAAAGCGCAAGCAUUGACAGUACCUGACUAAGAAGCCCCGGCUAACUACGUGCCAGCAGCCGCGGUAAUACGUAGGGGGCAAGCGUUAUCCGGAUUUACUGGGUGUAAAGGGAGCGUAGGCGGUACGGCAAGUCAGAUGUGAAAGCCCAGGGCUCAACCGUGGGACUGCAUUGGAAACUGUCUAGCUAGAGUGCAGGAGAGGUAAGUGGAAUUCCUAGUGUAGCGGUGAAAUGCGUAGAUAUUAGGAGGAACACCAGUGGCGAAGGCGGCUUACUGGACGGUAACUGACGUUGAGGCUCGAAAGCGUGGGGAGCAAACAGGAUUAGAUACCCUGGUA